GCUCAUAUCAGGUUGUAAGUACUUAUUCCCACACGAUCGCCGAAGUUAUGCAACGUCGAGCCUAGCCAGUAACUAGAUGGUUGGCCAUUUGGGAAUACCAGGUGCUGGAU
Molecule: non-coding RNA, 110 nt
Organism: Acanthosepion pharaonis
Lineage: Eukaryota; Metazoa; Mollusca; Cephalopoda; Sepiida; Sepiidae
Source: the annotation of a GenBank genome assembly